Anas platyrhynchos (mallard) is the source of this 1815-nucleotide non-coding RNA. Lineage: Eukaryota; Metazoa; Chordata; Aves; Anseriformes; Anatidae. The record is from RefSeq and is a predicted model, not a curated record.
UUCCCUCCUCUCUUUUUCUCUUUUCCCCCUUGAGCGUCUGUUUAUCUUCCCUUCGGUUCAUGAUUGUUCUUUUCUCAGUGUAUUCUUUGCUGCUUUGUUUAGCACAAGGAGGCUCCUGCCAUUUCCUUUGGGAACACAAUUAGUACCCCAAUACUCAAUGUUAUAAACUACUAUGCUAUUAGAAAGGGUAAUUUCAAUACCUAUAGGGUUCUUAUAAAAAGGAUGGAAGAGGACUCUUUAUUCAGCCUGAAGGAUCCCAGUGCACUUAUGAAUACUUCAAUUCAUUACUGGAACGAAUUCUUUUCCCAAUAAAUCAGGAGGAGGUCUCAUUCUGCAAGAGGAGGAAGACUAGGAUACUUCUUGAAGUACACCAACCCAGGAGAGGAGAGGGGAGGAGAAGAGAGCCUUCCUGCUGCAGGAAGGAAGAAGGUUAAAGAUGCCAAAGCAGCACACUGGAACAAGUCUUGAUGUCUCAAGUGCAGAGUCUCAUACAUUCUGUGUGUCUUAAUCAGACUGUGCCAGGAACAUAUUGCCUUAUAAAAUAUCAUAGUUUCUGUGACAUGUAGGUUCAGUAUUCUAAGACUGUAUUUUUGAGAAUUAAAUCAAUAAGACUCUUAGGUGAGACAAACUUGUGUAUUUACCUUGAUUAUCACAAAAAGAGUUUUCUGUCCUUCUUGUCAUAUAGAAAAUACUUGAGUCUUGUGGAAUUUCCAAGGAUAAAAUACAGAUCAUUCCAGAAUGAGCAGAAACUGCUGAAAACAUCAGUUUUGAAAACAUUGUUCUCCUUUUAAAACAUUUAGAAACAAUUAAAAUGAUUAAUAGGUUUUAAAAAUAAAUUUCCUAUGGCUUUCAGAUAUUCCUUCCCCUUUGGCCCAUGUUAUAAAUUACCAUUGUCGUAUGAACACAAUCUUUAUUCCUUUGAAUGAAUGUAUAGAACUUUGUUCUACUCACAGCCUUUAGUAUUUUACAGAUAUUGUUUUGGAAAUGGUUUAUCAUUUUUCAAAAAGAAAAUUCUGCCUCCAGGGUGUUUAAUAUAACCUUAUUAAUCAUUAAAUGUGUAAAAGGUCUUAUUAAAAUAUUGGUGUUGCUUGAAACAGUAUAAGCUCCUAUUAGAAUAUCUAACUAGCUUGAGGCAAGCAAGCCAGAAAUAUCCUCUGUAAUUCUUAGUAACUUCCAAUACCCCCAGCCUGCACUAUUUUUUUUUUUUUCUCUUGGGAUGAAAAGGAAAUCCAUUUCAGACUGAUACCAGUGCACCACUUCUCCUGUUCCUGCUAAGCCUAUUCUUGCCUGAUUUCAGUCCUCAGGAGCCUUCAUUCUGAGUACAGUAAUGAGCCUGACAAGCAGAGAGGAACUUGAACUAAAAUUCUCAAUGCAAAGGAUCUCAAUUUUAAGGAUGUUUUACUGGACCAGGCUCUUGAAGUUCAGGCCUUUGGAUACUGGUUAAAUUUCUUUAUUAGCAGCAUGCAAUACUCAAGGUAGGAGUAACUGAAUUACUUAAGAGUAAUUUAGCAAAUAACUAAAUGUUUGUAUGGCUACCUUAAUGAUUGUCUGUCUUUCCAAUUCAUUAAUAAUUGGUAGGCUUUUCCUUGGGGUAAUGAAUAUUUAAGUGAUUGAGAAUGUGAGAGGCUGCCCUUCAUCAUUUCACCAUUCAUACUGAGCAUGUCCAAAUGGAAGAGAAGGAAAUUAUAUGUAUAGGUGUGUCUAGCACAACCAAAAUAUUUUUUGAGGUCUUAAGAAAUCUCAGAAAAUGUUAUUUGCUGUAGGACUUUCUAGAUAUGCUGGUGUCUUCUGAGGAAAAACAGGUAUUUGUGCAGC